AACUAGAGAGCUUGUAACAGCACUUGACUUUUAAUCAAGAGAAAAUAUAAAUUAUUUCUAGUUA
Molecule: transfer RNA, 64 nt
Filed under: Amynthas purpuratus
Lineage: Eukaryota; Metazoa; Annelida; Clitellata; Crassiclitellata; Megascolecidae
Description: tRNA-Lys
Source: RNAcentral